This 449-nucleotide ribosomal RNA is filed under the name Oncholaimus dyvae. RNAcentral describes it as "SSU rRNA". It matches the Rfam family "Eukaryotic small subunit ribosomal RNA", at positions 1024 to 1498 of the family's 1831-position model. Lineage: Eukaryota; Metazoa; Nematoda; Enoplea; Enoplida; Oncholaimidae. The record is from RNAcentral.
UUCUAACCGUAAACGAUGUUAACUAGCGACUCGCAGGCGUUACUUUAACGGCCCUGCGAGGAGCUCCCGGGAAACCUAAGUGUUCGAAUUCCGGGGGAAGUAUGGUUGCAAAGCUGAAACUUAAAGGAAUUGACGGAAGGGCACCACCAGGAGUGGAGCUUGCGGCUUAAUUUGACUCAACGCGGGGAAACUCACUUGGUCAGGACACUGUGAGGAUUGACAGAUUGAAAGCUCUUUCUUGAUUCGGUGGAUGGUGGUGCAUGGCCGUUCUUAGUUGGUGGAGUGAUUUGUCUGGUUAAUUCCGAUAACGAACGAGACUCUAUCUUGCUAACUAGUCACAGGAUUAUUCUGACUGUGGAGCUUCUUAGAAGGACAGGGGGUUACAACCCCACGAGAUUGAGCAAUAACAGGUCUGUGAUGCCCUUAGAUGUCCAAGGCUGCACGCGUGC